GUGAUGGUGGAGGUGGAGAUUUGUAAUAGUAAUCAGGUGGUGGUGGAGACUUAUAAACGUAUGUCGGGGUUGGGGGAGGUGGUGACUUGUAAACAUAUGUUGGUGAUGGAGGAGGUGGUGACUUA
This is a long non-coding RNA of Solanum verrucosum, 125 nucleotides long. RefSeq lists it as uncharacterized. The record is from RefSeq and is a predicted model, not a curated record. NCBI's taxonomy places the organism in Eukaryota, Viridiplantae, Streptophyta, Magnoliopsida, Solanales, Solanaceae. The transcript is spliced from 3 exons.